CGGUGUUCAACUGGCGUGUCCGCGGGACGUCCUGCCGGUGGGCUUAGCCCGCAAGGGCGGCCCAACUUCAAAUCCCAUCGCGGUGCUCUUCACUGAGUGUCGAGGUGGGCCGGCACGUUUACUUUGAACAAAUUAGAGUGCUUAAAGCAGGCUAAAACUUCGCCUGAAUACUGUGUGCAUGGAAUAAUGGAAUGGGACCUCGGUUCUAUUUUGUUGGUUUUCGGAACCCCGAGGUAAUGAUUAAUAGGAACGGAUGGGGGCAUUCGUAUUGCGACGUUAGAGGUGAAAUUCUUGGAUCGUCGCAAGACGGACAGAAGCGAAAGCAUUUGCCAAAAACGCUUUCAUUGAUCAAGAACGAAAGUUAGAGGUUCGAAGGCGAUCAGAUACCGCCCUAGUUCUAACCAUAAACGAUGCCAGCUAGCGAUCCGUCGACGUUCCUCCGAUGACUCGACGGGCAGCUUCCGGGAAACCAAAGCUUUUGGGUUCCGGGGGAAGUAUGGUUGCAAAGCUGAAACUUAAAGGAAUUGACGGAAGGGCACCACCAGGAGUGGAGCCUGCGGCUUAAUUUGACUCAACACGGGAAACCUCACCAGGCCCGGACACCGGAAGGAUUGACAGAUUGAGAGCUCUUUCUUGAUUCGGUGGGUGGUGGUGCAUGGCCGUUCUUAGUUGGUGGAGCGAUUUGUCUGGUUAAUUCCGAUAACGAACGAGACUCUAGCCUGCUAACUAGGCGUAUUUUCGACAUCUCAAAGGUCCGUCGUCCCGGCCCUCGGGUCGUGGGCGUGCGCGAUUUUUACUGUCGGCGUACUAUCAAUUCUUCUUAGAGGGACAGGUGGCUUCUAGCCGCACGAGAUUGAGCAAUAACAGGUCUGUGAUG
RNAcentral lists this ribosomal RNA (877 nucleotides) under uncultured eukaryote. Its description in RNAcentral is "SSU rRNA". It matches the Rfam family "Eukaryotic small subunit ribosomal RNA", at positions 636 to 1469 of the family's 1831-position model. The record is from RNAcentral.